CCUACGGGCGGCAGCAGUGGGGGAUAUUGCACAAUGGGGGAAACCCUGAUGCAGCGACGCCGCGUGGGUGAAGAAGCGCCUCGGCGCGUAAAGCCCUGUCAGCAGGGAAGAAAAUGACGGUACCUGAAGAAGAAGCCCCGGCUAACUACGUGCCAGCAGCCGCGGUAAUACGUAGGGCGCAAGCGUUAUCCGGAUUUACUGGGUGUAAAGGGGGCGCAGACGGCGAUGCAAGCCAGGAGUGAAAGCCCGGGGCCCAACCCCGGGACUGCUCUUGGAACUGCGGGGCUAGAGUGCAGGAGGGGCAGGCGGAAUUGCUGGUGUAGCGGUGAAAUGCAGAGAUGUCACGCAGAACUCCGAUUGCGAAGGCAGCAUGCCGGCGCGCAACUGACGCUGAAGCACGAAAGCGUGGGUAUCGAACAGGAUUAGAUACCCCAGUAGUG
RNAcentral lists this ribosomal RNA (440 nucleotides) under uncultured bacterium. RNAcentral's name for it is "partial 16S ribosomal RNA". It matches the Rfam family "Bacterial small subunit ribosomal RNA", at positions 338 to 795 of the family's 1533-position model. The record is from RNAcentral.